RNAcentral lists this ribosomal RNA (1356 nucleotides) under Vibrio alginolyticus. Its description in RNAcentral is "bacterial SSU rRNA". It matches the Rfam family "Bacterial small subunit ribosomal RNA", at positions 41 to 1376 of the family's 1533-position model. Lineage: Bacteria; Pseudomonadati; Pseudomonadota; Gammaproteobacteria; Vibrionales; Vibrionaceae. The record is from RNAcentral.
GGCAGGCCUAACACAUGCAAGUCGAGCGGAAACGAGUUAUCAGAACCUUCGGGGGACGAUAACGGCGUCGAGCGGCGGACGGGUGAGUAAUGCCUAGGAAAUUGCCCUGAUGUGGGGGAUAACCAUUGGAAACGAUGGCUAAUACCGCAUGAUGCCUACGGGCCAAAGAGGGGGACCUUCGGGCCUCUCGCGUCAGGAUAUGCCUAGGUGGGAUUAGCUAGUUGGUGAGGUAAGGGCUCACCAAGGCGACGAUCCCUAGCUGGUCUGAGAGGAUGAUCAGCCACACUGGAACUGAGACACGGUCCAGACUCCUACGGGAGGCAGCAGUGGGGAAUAUUGCACAAUGGGCGCAAGCCUGAUGCAGCCAUGCCGCGUGUGUGAAGAAGGCCUUCGGGUUGUAAAGCACUUUCAGUCGUGAGGAAGGUAGUGUAGUUAAUAGCUGCAUUAUUUGACGUUAGCGACAGAAGAAGCACCGGCUAACUCCGUGCCAGCAGCCGCGGUAAUACGGAGGGUGCGAGCGUUAAUCGGAAUUACUGGGCGUAAAGCGCAUGCAGGUGGUUUGUUAAGUCAGAUGUGAAAGCCCGGGGCUCAACCUCGGAAUAGCAUUUGAAACUGGCAGACUAGAGUACUGUAGAGGGGGGUAGAAUUUCAGGUGUAGCGGUGAAAUGCGUAGAGAUCUGAAGGAAUACCGGUGGCGAAGGCGGCCCCCUGGACAGAUACUGACACUCAGAUGCGAAAGCGUGGGGAGCAAACAGGAUUAGAUACCCUGGUAGUCCACGCCGUAAACGAUGUCUACUUGGAGGUUGUGGCCUUGAGCCGUGGCUUUCGGAGCUAACGCGUUAAGUAGACCGCCUGGGGAGUACGGUCGCAAGAUUAAAACUCAAAUGAAUUGACGGGGGCCCGCACAAGCGGUGGAGCAUGUGGUUUAAUUCGAUGCAACGCGAAGAACCUUACCUACUCUUGACAUCCAGAGAACUUUCCAGAGAUGGAUUGGUGCCUUCGGGAACUCUGAGACAGGUGCUGCAUGGCUGUCGUCAGCUCGUGUUGUGAAAUGUUGGGUUAAGUCCCGCAACGAGCGCAACCCUUAUCCUUGUUUGCCAGCGAGUAAUGUCGGGAACUCCAGGGAGACUGCCGGUGAUAAACCGGAGGAAGGUGGGGACGACGUCAAGUCAUCAUGGCCCUUACGAGUAGGGCUACACACGUGCUACAAUGGCGCAUACAGAGGGCGGCCAACUUGCGAAAGUGAGCGAAUCCCAAAAAGUGCGUCGUAGUCCGGAUUGGAGUCUGCAACUCGACUCCAUGAAGUCGGAAUCGCUAGUAAUCGUGGAUCAGAAUGCCACGGUGAAUACGUUCCCG